This 101-nucleotide microRNA precursor is filed under the name Canis lupus familiaris (dog). Its description in RNAcentral is "mir-544 microRNA precursor family". It matches the Rfam family "mir-544 microRNA precursor family". Lineage: Eukaryota; Metazoa; Chordata; Mammalia; Carnivora; Canidae. RNAcentral also lists the same sequence under 2 other names. The record is from Rfam by way of RNAcentral.
AUCACCUGAGAUCUUGUUAAGAUGCAGAUUCUGUUUCAGUGUAUUUGGAAUGGGGCCUAAGAUUCUGCAUCUCUAAUAAGCUUCCUCCCACGUGAUGUCAA